Molecule: ribosomal RNA, 386 nt
Filed under: uncultured bacterium
Lineage: Bacteria
Description: bacterial SSU rRNA
Rfam family: Bacterial small subunit ribosomal RNA
Source: RNAcentral
GACGAACGCUGGCGGCGCGCCUAAUACAUGCAAGUCGAGGGAGAACCGAGCCUUCGGGCUCGGGGAGACCGGCGAACGGGUGAGUAACACGUGAGGAACCUGCCCUGUAGACCGGAAUAACCACGGGAAACUGUGGCUAAUGCCGGAUAUUCUCGAACGUCCGCAUGGAAGUUCGAGGAAAAGGUCCGCCGCUACAGGAUGGCCUCGCGGCCUAUCAGCUUGUUGGUGAGGUAACGGCUCACCAAGGCGACGACGGGUAGCUGGCGUGAGAGCGCGACCAGCCACACUGGGACUGAGACACGGCCCAGACUCCUACGGGAGGCAGCAGUAGGGAAUCUUGCGCAAUGGGCGAAAGCCUGACGCAGCGACGCCGCGUGCGGGAAGAA